This 261-nucleotide ribosomal RNA is filed under the name uncultured bacterium. RNAcentral describes it as "partial 16S ribosomal RNA". It matches the Rfam family "Bacterial small subunit ribosomal RNA", at positions 29 to 276 of the family's 1533-position model. The record is from RNAcentral.
AACGAACGCUGGCGGCGUGGAUAAGACAUGCAAGUCGAACGGGAUAACAUCUGUAGCAAUACAGGUGUUAUUUAGUGGCGAACGGGUGCGUAACACGUGGGCAAUCUGCCGAGAAGUGGGGGAUAGCUCGCCGAAAGGCGAAUUAAUACCGCAUAUGAUCAGUGAAGACAUCUUCACGACAUCAAAGCCGGGGUAACCUGGCGCUUCUUGAUGAGCCCGCGGCCAUCAGCUAGUUGGUGAGGUAACGGCUCACCAAGGCUA